GCCUAGGGUCCUCCCCUCCUCUUUGGGUCUGUUUUCAUCCGUUGUUGCAGCUGCCUGCAUCUUCCUUACUUUGCUCCACGGCCUUCUGCAGCUCUGCUGUUCGGCUCUUCUCAGAGUGAUUUACCAGGAACAUCUUUUCCUUUUCUCCAUGUCUUCCGCCAGAGGUUAACACUGGUGAGAUUCAGGGACACAGCACCCAGAGCAGGAGAAUUUGGGCCAGCUGGGUUUCUGCCUCUGUUAGGCACUAAUCAGCUGGGGCGCUGCUUUAAAGGUGAGUCAGCACUGAAAUAUCCCUUCAGGUGUUACCAAGCUUCUACCAAACCGGAGUCUGGCGGGUAACCUUGCCUAGAGCUUCCUGAUAGGGGUGCUAGUUGGUUGUCACCUUGUUCACAC
Molecule: long non-coding RNA, 393 nt
Organism: Astatotilapia calliptera (eastern happy)
Lineage: Eukaryota; Metazoa; Chordata; Actinopteri; Cichliformes; Cichlidae
Source: Ensembl